GUGGGGAAUUUUGGACAAUGGGCGCAAGCCUGAUCCAGCAAUGCCGCGUGCAGGAAGACGGCCCUCUGGGUUGUAAACUGCUUUUAUCUGGGAAGAAAAAGGCCAUGCGUGGCAAAUUGCCGGUACCAGAUGAAUAAGCACCGGCUAACUCCGUGCCAGCAGCCGCGGUAAUACGGAGGGUGCGAGCGUUGUCCGGAUUUAUUGGGUUUAAAGGGUGCGUAGGCGGCUGAUUAAGUCAGCGGUGAAAGACUUCGGCUUAACCGGAGCAGUGCCGUUGAUACUGGUUGGCUUGAGUGUCGGAGGGGUACAUGGAAUUGAUGGUGUAGCGGUGAAAUGCAUAGAUACCAUCAGGAACACCGAUAGCGAAGGCAUUGUACUGGCCGACAACUGACGCUGAUGCACGAAAGUGUGGGGAUCGAACAGGAUUAGAAACCCCUGUAGUCC
RNAcentral lists this ribosomal RNA (444 nucleotides) under uncultured bacterium. Its description in RNAcentral is "partial 16S ribosomal RNA". It matches the Rfam family "Bacterial small subunit ribosomal RNA", at positions 354 to 796 of the family's 1533-position model. The record is from RNAcentral.